UGACUGCUAGUGGAUCCAGACGGCCCC
Molecule: non-coding RNA, 27 nt
Filed under: Rattus norvegicus (Norway rat)
Lineage: Eukaryota; Metazoa; Chordata; Mammalia; Rodentia; Muridae
Source: RNAcentral